This 451-nucleotide long non-coding RNA is filed under the name Rattus norvegicus (Norway rat). Its description in RNAcentral is "long non-coding RNA NONRATT025858". The record is from RNAcentral. Lineage: Eukaryota; Metazoa; Chordata; Mammalia; Rodentia; Muridae.
GCUUCCCAUUUGCCCCACCCUUGACUGUGCCUGGCAUGCUCACCUGCACACAGUCCCUGUGCUACCUUUUCUGGUGAGAGCCAGGUGUGUUCAGCCAAUGAGAAGCCUGAUAAAACAUGGGGAGAGAAAGAACAUCUUUUUCGAGACUUCCUGCCACUCUGGCCUAGUGCUCAUUUUAGUGGUUUCCCCAGCCUUGUCCCUGUAUAGCUAGAAGGGCCAGCUCCUUCCAGAGGCUACUCCUGAUGACUCUCAUUCAUUCCUUCAUUCAUUGUGGGGACAUCUGAGCUGGUGAACCUCAGGGGCAGGGGGUAGGCAGGAACCAUGGGAUAAACAAUGUCUUAAAUACGCUGCCAUUGACUGGGCAAAAUUUUACACUGAAACCCAAGAUAGCAUUGUCUCAAACAGAAAAUCCACAUAUUCUUUCAGAAUAAAUGGACUUCUGAAAGCACUC